UCAAAUCUUGCCUCAGGCACUUUCUAGUUUUUGACCCUGGGCAAGGAAUAUAGCUUCUUUCUGCCUCAGUUUCCCAACUGUAAGAUAGGUAGAGAAACUGAGGCCCAAGAAGAGGGAAAGCUACACCUGAGGCAGGCAGGUCUACCAUGAAACUUCAACCCCACUUCAAUACACAGGACAUCUCCUGCUUUUUCCCUGGGGAAAAUGCUUUAAUUUCUAUAGAAAUGGUAGCAUCUUUUGUCUGAGUGCAGUUGAGUGACAGAUGAUGUCUAUUUCUACCAGUUAUGGUAAGGGGCUGGGACGAGGCAGGGUGGCUGUUGCCCUGAGCUUUGUGACAUGAGUCCAGGGCAAUCCUGAUGAGGAGGCAGCUGCCAACAUAGUGUGAUGUGAAAGUCCUUGAGGCAGAAACACUGUUACAGCAUGAUGGAUUCAACUAAGCACACAUUUACUAUGUAUCUACUUGGGUCACUAAACUGUCCUCAGCCACGUGACAAGUUUGAAUUGAGGCUCAGCUGCUCACUCCCUCUGUGAUCUUGAGUAAAUCACCUCUACUCCCUGGGCUUCAAACUCUGUCAAAUGGGGAAGUUGGACUUAAUGAGCUCUCAGGUCUUCAGCAAUUCUUAAUCCUGUGCUCAUAUGAUUCACUCACACUUAAGAAAUCUCAGAGCCAAGAAUGGAACCCAGGUCUUCUUGGUGCUGCUCUUGGGAAGUCUCCUUUGACCACUUUAACCCCCCAAACCCUGUUCCUUCCUCCAAACUCUGGCAGUACUUACUGUCUGUAGCACACAUGGAUGUGGAUUAUGAGUUCUUUUACUAUCAGACUCUCCAGAAUGCCAAGAAUCAGUUUCAAGGCAGAAGAGUGACAGUUAGUCAAUGGAGGUUAAGUGACUUGCCCAAGGUCAUCCAGCUAAGAAGUGUCUGAGGUCAGAUUUGAACCCAGGACCUCCUGCUCUCUGGAUCUGGAUCUCAAUCCACUGAGCUACCUAACUGCCUUCUGC
This 998-nucleotide long non-coding RNA is filed under the name Monodelphis domestica (gray short-tailed opossum). Its description in RNAcentral is "lncRNA (ENSMODG00000038093.1)". Lineage: Eukaryota; Metazoa; Chordata; Mammalia; Didelphimorphia; Didelphidae. The record is from RNAcentral.